This is a non-coding RNA of Acanthosepion pharaonis, 103 nucleotides long. The record is from the annotation of a GenBank genome assembly. Lineage: Eukaryota; Metazoa; Mollusca; Cephalopoda; Sepiida; Sepiidae.
UAUGGCCACACCACGUUAAAGCACCAGUUCCCGUACGAUCACUGAAGUUAAGCAACGUCGCACUUGGUCAGUACUUAGAUAAUCACUUAGGAAUACCAGGAUG